GAUGAACGCUGGCGGCGUGCCUAAUACAUGCAAGUCGAGCGAACAGGCGAGGAGCUUGCUCCUCUGACGUUAGCGGCGGACGGGUGAGUAACACGUGGAUAACCUACCUAUAAGACUGGGAUAACUUCGGGAAACCGGAGCUAAUACCGGAUAAUAUAUUGAACCGCAUGGUUCAAUAGUGAAAGACGGUUUUGCUGUCACUUAUAGAUGGAUCCGCGCCGCAUUAGCUAGUUGGUAAGGUAACGGCUUACCAAGGCAACGAUGCGUAGCCGACCUGAGAGGGUGAUCGGCCACACUGGAACUGAGACACGGUCCAGACUCCUACGGGAGGCAGCAGUAGGGAAUCUUCCGCAAUGGGCGAAAGCCUGACGGAGCAACGCCGCGUGAGUGAUGAAGGUCUUCGGAUCGUAAAACUCUGUUAUUAGGGAAGAACAAAUGUGUAAGUAACUAUGCACGUCUUGACGGUACCUAAUCAGAAAGCCACAGCUAACUACGUG
Molecule: ribosomal RNA, 497 nt
Filed under: uncultured bacterium
Lineage: Bacteria
Description: partial 16S ribosomal RNA
Rfam family: Bacterial small subunit ribosomal RNA
Source: RNAcentral